ACUAUCUUGGCAGAUUAGUGCUAUAAAUUUAGAAUUUAUAUAUGUAAUAUACUUUACAGAUAGUA
RNAcentral lists this transfer RNA (65 nucleotides) under Potamometra linnavuorii. Its description in RNAcentral is "tRNA-Leu". The record is from RNAcentral. Lineage: Eukaryota; Metazoa; Arthropoda; Insecta; Hemiptera; Gerridae.